This 381-nucleotide ribosomal RNA is filed under the name uncultured fungus. RNAcentral describes it as "SSU rRNA". It matches the Rfam family "Eukaryotic small subunit ribosomal RNA", at positions 827 to 1208 of the family's 1831-position model. Lineage: Eukaryota; Fungi. The record is from RNAcentral.
CGUGUGGUUCUAUUUUGUUGGUUUCUAGGACCGCCGUAAUGAUUAAUAGGGACAGUCGGGGGCAUCAGUAUUCAAUUGUCAGAGGUGAAAUUCUUGGAUUUAUUGAAGACUAACUACUGCGAAAGCAUUUGCCAAGGAUGUUUUCAUUAAUCAGGAACGAAAGUUAGGGGAUCGAAGACGAUCAGAUACCGUCGUAGUCUUAACCAUAAACUAUGCCGACUAGGGAUCGGACGGUGUUAUUUUUUGACCCGUUCGGCACCUUACGAGAAAUCAAAGUGCUUGGGCUCCAGGGGGAGUAUGGUCGCAAGGCUGAAACUUAAAGAAAUUGACGGAAGGGCACCACCAGGGGUGGAGCCUGCGGCUUAAUUUGACUCAACACGG